UACAGAGGGUGCGAGCGUUAAUCGGAAUUACUGGGCGUAAAGUGCACGUAGGUGGCGACGUAAGUCGGGUGUGAAAGCCCCGGGCUCAACCUGGGAAUUGCAUUCGAGACUGCAUUGCUGGAGUACGGAAGAGGAGGGCGGAAUUCCCGGUGUAGCGGUGAAAUGCGUAGAUAUCGGGAGGAACAUCAGUGGCGAAGGCGGCCCUCUGGUCCAGUACUGACACUCAAGUGCGAAAGCGUGGGGAGCAAACAGG
This 253-nucleotide ribosomal RNA is filed under the name uncultured bacterium. Its description in RNAcentral is "partial 16S ribosomal RNA". It matches the Rfam family "Bacterial small subunit ribosomal RNA", at positions 524 to 776 of the family's 1533-position model. The record is from RNAcentral.